Non-coding RNA from Phoenix dactylifera (date palm), 3330 nucleotides. NCBI's taxonomy places the organism in Eukaryota, Viridiplantae, Streptophyta, Magnoliopsida, Arecales, Arecaceae. The record is from RefSeq and is a predicted model, not a curated record.
AGCUGGAAGAUGGGGAAAGGCGAAAAAUGUAGGAGAGAUAUUUGAAGCCUUUUUGCUAAGUCUUACAGGAAAUAAUGGCGUAAGAUGCUGCGUCACUGCAAACUCAAGGUGAUUCUCGUUCAAAAAUGGCACAUGCUGGUUAGAAAAUAUCAAGUUAGAAGAGCAACGACGGGAAUAACGGUAGAGGAUUUUAAAGCAUCUACCCUUUCCUGUCUGAUAUAUGUCCAUGUUUUAUCAAGUUGACUUCAAUUGUGUAAUGGUUCAGGGUUGGUUCAGGGUCUUACUAUAUUUUGUUGUGGUGGGAGACUUUGAUUUUCACAGUAUCCUGUUUACGCAAUUUAAAGAACAUGGAUGCUAGGGUGGCAUGUUUUCAACUACGUAUAGCACCAUGUGUUUGUUGAUUAGAGUUUCAAUGAUCGUAAAGGAGAAGUGGCCCUUUAUUUUUUGUUGCCUUUCCUGGUCGACUCAUUUGUUUAUGUUACACAAGGAAUUAAGCAUUGAAGCUGAAUUUUUUUGAGAACUUCAUGGAUUUCAGUGGCUAAAAUCUGCAUGCUCUAAAAUUAUAUCAAGCUCUUAGGCCAUUCACUCUUUUUAUUCUUUUCUUUCAUUUCACAGUUAUCCUAUGUUUUCUAUCUUCACAUGUAGUUUUCUUGAAAUGUGCCUUCACAUGUAUUUGGACACAAAUGUUGGAUUUCCUAAUUACUUCAAUAGGUUUUUAAAACGCCAAGACUUUUCGUCCAUCUUAAAUCUUCUGUUGUGUGACGUCCUCCUGAUUUUUCCAGAUUAUUGGUUCUUUUUCUUCAAAUAUCCAAAUUUUCUAUGCCGAACUUAAUGGAAGGAGCACUGAAAUAUAGAUCAAACUCCAAAGCAGCUGCCUGAAGCUAUUCUAGCUAUGGUGAAGGCGCCUCCGUGUUUAAAUAUCUGUGGGCACCAAAUCUCCAGCCUGUGUUGUCCCAGAUCAAGAAGUAUAUUUAGAGAAAAUGGAAAAGAUGUGGGCUAUUCCUGUCUCUGCUUUUAAGGUAAAUGCAUUACAAUGUUACAUAGAUUGAAAACAAUCAGACAGCACCGAAUCCAAUCUUCUUUUUUAUUUUUUUCACAUCUCUGGUUGCAUGAUUUCUCAAAAAGAAAAAAAAAAAAAACAAACUCACUCUUCUCUAGCUACCUCAUUUCUGUUGGCUGUUGCUGAUCUCUAGUCAAAUUCUUGAUAUCUAUUAACUAUGCCAACUUCAACAUCAGCAGCCUCAAAUAUGUAAUCGGGGUAUCCUCUAAGGUGGCAGCGGGCAAUGUAUUGACCCGGAUUCCUAGGUCACUCGACUAAAUCUACACGAAACCAUCCAUGAGCAUCUCUUUUUAUUCUCCUUCCCCCCCUUCAAGAUUUUUGAGCUUAAGACCAAUACGUGUAAACGGCUCGUAGCAUAACCACGGACAUGUCUCGGGACUAAUAAAUAUAUUGUGUCCAACUGCACCGCUAGAGCUGUGCUUGGAAAACAAAAAUCCUAAAUAAAACUUCUCUUGGAAAAUCGUACAAAAAUCCUUUCUUAUGCAAGAAAAAUAUUAACGAGUGUCCGAGUUUUAUAUAUAGAUGAGUAGUUGCGAAUGUUUAAUGUGCAAACUCUAUGUAUAUUGUUUAAGAGGAGCCUCAGUACGACUUUUCCUUGAUUAAUUAAUUAUACUGUACCGGUGCACAGUCAUGGUCGCAAACUAAAGCAACAUGAAACCAUAUGGGAUGCUUAAAAUGUGACAGGCACUGCAAACAUAUUUUAAAAUUUUCUAGAACUAUCUUCAAAUUAAGUUUCUUUAAAAUCAACUUCAAAAGAAUUGAAUACAUGCUUACAAGAGAAACAUGUGCCAAACCAAUAGUUUUGGCUAAGAACCCAAAAAUGCAUUUCUUGUCUUGGUUAUGAGAAACGCCAUGGAGCUUCUAUCAUGUGCAUACAAACAAAAAAAACCAUGCUAUAUAAAGAGAUUGAAAGGUAUAACUUGCGAGAAUUAUUUCGAUAUAUGAAGUAUUGGUUGAUUAUUCAACUACUAAAUUGGAUUUUUUAUGUCCAACGAACUCAUUUUGUGUGCAUAUCAUUGGCGCCCUGAAAUAUUUUUCUCUAGAGAUUGCUUUGUAUUCUAUGGGUUACACUCUAAACUUAAUUAAGCAAGAAAGUGGAGACUUAAAGAUGAGGCACAUGAGUCGCAGGAGUCCAAGCUUCUACGAACUAAUUCAAAUUGUGGGCAUAUUUAUCUGGUAAAGAAAUGUCUACAGGCUUUUAAUGUAGUUAUAUAUGUUGUCUACAUGGAGUAUUUUUAGUAUUUAUGAUCUCGAUAAACAGCCUAUAGGCAUAUUAAUAUUAGUUUUUAUCUCCUUAUGAAGUGCUUUGAAAUAUGCAGCGAUUAAGGGCUUUGGAAUUGGACUGGGUAGCCGUUACGAAUUGAUAGAUUCAAUUGGCAAUCUGAAACACCUGCGCUAUUUGUACAUUGAUUAUGGGUCAGGGUUCCCUGGAUCAUUACGUUUCCUUUACAACCUGCAGACACUGGAUCUCACAUCUUCAAGUCUUGCAGAGUUGCCAAAGGCCUAGAAAAUGUCGUAUAAUUGUUCAUUCUUUCAUAAUAUGUUUGAUUAGAGGCUUUAAAUCUGUGUUCCAUUUUAUUUGCUGACAUUCUGACCAUAUCAAACAUCAACGAGAUCAGAAACCAUGGCGUCGACAAUUUUACCAACCUUGAACAUCUUUGUGUAAAGGACAGUGUUGUGCUGGAUUCUCAAACAAACGAGUCGCUACCAUUGUAAACCCCGGACCAGAUGGACCGGCUUGGACCAAAGUCGGCGGUCCAUCUGGUGGUUUCGGGAGUAAAGCGGUGGAGAACCUCAGCUGUUGAGGCAGUUAAAACUGCCUAACAGCCGCGGUCCCCCACCCCUCCGAGCUGGAUGAAGAGCUACAAAAGCCCUGGAGUCCGCUGUAUGGGACUCCAUCGCCACCCUCUCACCUCCCUUACUCUCUUUUCCUCUGUGCAAGGAGUCGGACCGAGAGCUGUGGUGCCGGAGGGGGAAGGAUUCCCAGCUCGCCACCUUGUUGUGCCGCCGGAGCAGACAGAGGAGCUCGCCGGAAUCCUCCACGGCUCAUCGGAGCUAGGUAAUUGAAGAAUUGGCACUCAAACCUAAGUUUGGUGGGCGAAUUAAGAUGAAUAGGAGAUGAUAGGAACAAGGAGCGUAACAUGCUCCAGGGUUAUGGGAAAGACGAAUGUUAAAUGUAGAUAAUGUUUUUAGAAGCUUUGUAUGCAUUUUAAUACAUGAACAUUUAAUGACUUUCAUGAAUAUAGUUGUUUACAAUUUGAAGUUUUAAA